RNAcentral lists this unclassified non-coding RNA (401 nucleotides) under soil metagenome. RNAcentral's name for it is "partial contains 5.8S ribosomal RNA, internal transcribed spacer 2, and large subunit ribosomal RNA". The stretch from base 1 to 121 matches the Rfam family "5.8S ribosomal RNA", at positions 35 to 154 of the family's 154-position model. The record is from RNAcentral.
GAUGAAGAACGUAGCGAAAUGCGAUAAGUAAUGUGAAUUGCAGAAUUCAGUGAAUCAUCGAAUCUUUGAACGCACCUUGCGCCCCUUGGUUAUUCCAAAGGGCAUGCCUGUUUGAGUAUCAUGAACACCUCAACUCUUGUGGUUUCCCACAAUGAGCUUGGACUGUGGAGGUUUUGUUGGCCCUGUGGUCAGCUCCUCUCAAAUGGAUCAGCUUACCGGUGUUUGGUGGCAUUACGGGUGUGAUAACUAUCUACGCUCCUGGUCGUCUCCAAAUAACCUCCAGUGAUGGAGGUUCGCUGGAGCUUAUAAAUGUCUCUCCCCAGUGAAGACAGCCUUUGAACGUUCGAUCUCAAAUCAGGUAGGACUACCCGCUGAACUUAAGCAUAUCAAUAAGCGGAGGA